AUGCCGAAUCACGAUGGGUGUUUUGCGCGCGGAGCACAAGACACUUGGAGACACAGUUUACUCGAGUGCAAUAUGGCGAGGUGUGUUUGGGCAUUAGAGGACCAUGACCUCCUGGAGCAUAUGAUAGCCACGUCAGAACCUUCUGCCCGUGCUUGGUUAUUCUCAAUGAUGGAUGUGUUGAAUCACGAUGAGUUAACAAGGAUGACAGUCAUUUUAUGGGCUAUUUGGUAUGCGAGGAGAAAACUCAUUCAUACGGUUCCUGCACAAGCAAACCAAAAUUUCAAGUGGAUCCCGCCAGUUCAGGGUUCCAUAAAGAUUAAUGUUGACGUUGCAGUUUCCACCAACCAUAAUGUUGGUACGGCCGCUCCCGUGUGCGGGACAGUAAUGGCGCUUAUUUGGGCUCUUCCAUGCUGGUCAUUCACGGGUUUGUUGGAUCCACCGAUGCUAGAAGCUAUUGCGUGCAGGGAAGGCCUUUGUUUGGCGCAAGAUCUUGGGAUGGUUCACCAUGUCGCUUCAGAUUGCAAACAGGCAGUACAUCAUAUACAUCAGAGAGUUGAGGGGGACUACGGCAUCAUCAUCAGAGAGAUUUUAGAUAUUUCUCAUUCCUUUGCAUCUUGUAAUUUCUUUUUUGAACCUCGAGCUGCGAAUUAUGAAGCUCACAGGCUAGCUAGGUUUGGUGUUUCUCUCGCGGUUGGGAGGGAUCUUUGGCUGGGUACUCCUCAUGACCCAGUUGUAAUUCAUGCAACCAUUUUAGCUAAUCAAUAA
RNAcentral lists this ribosomal RNA (765 nucleotides) under Triticum aestivum (bread wheat). RNAcentral describes it as "partial small subunit ribosomal RNA". The record is from RNAcentral. Lineage: Eukaryota; Viridiplantae; Streptophyta; Magnoliopsida; Poales; Poaceae.